RNAcentral lists this ribosomal RNA (253 nucleotides) under uncultured bacterium. Its description in RNAcentral is "partial 16S ribosomal RNA". It matches the Rfam family "Bacterial small subunit ribosomal RNA", at positions 524 to 776 of the family's 1533-position model. The record is from RNAcentral.
UACAGAGGGGGCAAGCGUUAUUCGGAAUUAUUGGGCGUAAAGGGCGCGUAGGCGGCCUGACAAGUGGAAGGUGAAAUCCCUCGGCUUAACCGAGGAACUGCCCUCCAAACUGUUUGGCUUGAGUCCGGGAGAGGUGAGUGGAAUUCCCAGUGUAGCGGUGAAAUGCGUAGAUAUUGGGAGGAACACCAGUGGCGAAGGCGGCUCACUGGACCGGAACUGACGCUGAGGCGCGAAAGCUAGGGGAGCGAACGGG